AGCGGCGGAUGGGUGAGUAACACGUGGAGGAACCUGCCCCUAAGUCUGGGAUACCAUUUGGAAACAGGUGCUAAUACCGGAUAAUAAAGCAGAUCGCAUGAUCAGCUUUUGAAAGGCGGCGUAAGCUGUCGCUAAGGGAUGGCCCCGCGGUGCAUUAGCUAGUUGGUAAGGUAACGGCUUACCAAGGCAACGAUGCAUAGCCGAGUUGAGAGACUGAUCGGCCACAUUGGGACUGAGACACGGCCCAAACUCCUACGGGAGGCAGCAGUAGGGAAUCUUCCACAAUGGACGCAAGUCUGAUGGAGCAACGCCGCGUGAGUGAAGAAGGUUUUCGGCAUCGUAAAGCUCUG
Molecule: ribosomal RNA, 350 nt
Filed under: Lactobacillus sp.
Lineage: Bacteria; Bacillati; Bacillota; Bacilli; Lactobacillales; Lactobacillaceae
Description: bacterial SSU rRNA
Rfam family: Bacterial small subunit ribosomal RNA
Source: RNAcentral